RNAcentral lists this long non-coding RNA (2290 nucleotides) under Xyrichtys novacula (pearly razorfish). The record is from RNAcentral. Lineage: Eukaryota; Metazoa; Chordata; Actinopteri; Labriformes; Labridae.
CUCAAGACCCGUCCAGGGUAUAUCCUGACUUUCACUCAACAUCAGCUGGGAUGGCUCUGGCCCCUGGAGCAGUCCUCAAAGGUAAGGACUACAGACGAUGGGUGGAUAGGUGGUGGGAAAGCCAGAAAAUUUGCAACUUUUAGUACAAGCUAAAAGUCAAGUAGACAGGAUUUUUGGGUUAUUUCAUGAUCUGCUGUUUCCAGUAAAAAAAAGAUAUGAAAUGUUGUCACUUUAGUGCACAAGUCCCCAGAGUUCCAGUAUCCAGAAAUGACUGUCCUGACCACUGAUAGAGGAGAUACUCUGACUUUUGUAAUCCUCUCCAUCUGUUAUUUGAUCAUUGCUCGAAGAGGCAAGGGUGUAGUGCAUGAGUGUGAUAGUAUAUCUCCAGAUUAUUUGGUGUCUGCUCAGCUAAUCACGGGAGUGGUGACCAGAGUGAGCAUCCACAGCAACUAAAGAGUGAUGGAUGAAAGGGUGAUAUAAUCUUGCAUCAAUUAUUAAUGCGCUGCCUGGAAAUAAAUCACUAGUGAGGUUGUGCGUUUGCCUGUAUGAGUGUGUGAGCUCCUGUAUCUGUGCUAUUGAGAAAGCUCUCUUCAUGAAUAAUGAACAUUCAAUUCUCACCUCAACCAGGGAUUUCACACCACUGAAACUCUGCAGAGGAAAAUAAGCAUGUGCCAGAGAGGUAGAGAAGUAAAAAUGAGAGUACAUGUGUUUAUAUGUGUGUUGGAAAGACUGCAUGCAUGUAACAGCGGAAAAGAUCAGAAAAAAGGUCCACUUGGUUUGAGAAUUAUGAAUUAAUAUAUGUAUGCGCAUGUUUGUGUGCGUCACUUAAAUUACUUCUUUAUUCAGCAAGCAGGCGAGAAGCUGGCUGAGCUGUUGCCUUAAUUAUCAGUUAUGUGCUUGUAUGUGCGUCAGAAUGAAAGAUUGCAUAAAUAAGAGGCAGCCUCUCCUCAUUCAAACGUGCUCUCCUGCCUGAAAUCUUCUUUUUUCAAGUAUUCUCUAACUAUUUCAUUCUGUAGUCUUCAGUCUGUUAAAGGCUUCCUAAUCCCUCUAUUACCUAACACCUGACUGGAUUAAGAGCUUGAUCCUGAUUGGUUAAAUCCCCUAAACAGAGGGGAUAAAUCCGCCAAAACAAGUAUGAUGCAAGGGACCUUACCACACCUGUCUUAUUAAACAAAAACACAGGAGGGGACCAGCGCAUCUCACCUCUGCCUGUUGACACUGGAAAAACGUUAGUUUCCAUCAGUGUUAAAUUGGAAACACUGCAGUCAUCAGAAUGAGGGGUAACUGUAAACACGUGAAAGCAGCCUGAAGAGCUACUGGACGGCAACCAUCUCUGAUAGGAAAAUGUAAAAGAUCACAAUGUCCUGUAAUUCACACAAUGAUAGCAUAGCUGGAGUGAGCACAUCUAACCUCUUAAUCCCAUCAGAUCUGUGUUCAGUCCACAAUUUUGGUUUGUUUUAACUGGCUCUGCUGUGUCAGAGUUAACUUCUAUUUUGCAUGGCUGGUUAUUUUGGAAAUCAUUAAAACAUCUGGGUAAUUUUGAAAAUUGAGCACCUUUAGUUGAGGAUGUUAAGGUCACGACAGUGGUGAAUCAAACAGGCAGACAUACUGUUGCAAGGUGGCUAAAGGCCUGUCUCUGGUAGGUUGACUGGAAGCUGGGUUGAGUCACCAUUUGAAAUAUGGGGAAUAAAGUAGCUCCAUAACUAGUUUGUUAUAAGAAAAAAGGCCACUAACACAAUGAAAUGGUGGUGAUACUUCCAACAGUUCCAGUUUCUCAAAGUAAAAAACAGCUGCUUCCUUUUAUCUAAAAUAUAUACUAGUUUAAUCAACCUUUUUGGUUUUGAAUGUCUCACAGAAACUAUUAUACAAUGUCAUCUCAAAUACCUGAAAAUAGCUGAAAAAUACCAAAAAUGGGAACACUCCUUAGAUGCCGACUUUAUGCACAUAAAUAAAGCUUAGCAUACAGAGACAAGGAAUAGUUUUCCUGCUUACUCACUUUUCUCUUUCUCUCAGUUUUGAAGUCAAGCUAACUGAGGUGGAGCAAGCUCCCACCACGACCUUUGUGAGUCAAUUGUUGUCUCAUUUCCACACCUUCCCCUCCAGUUUUCAUCAGAUCCAGAACUUCUCAGGGACUCUCCUGCUGAAAGAAAUGCAGUGAGGAACUUUACCUGGCAAUAAUUGUGAACCACUUUGAAGAAAAGUUUUGGAAGUUUCCUAAAGCUUCCUUGAGCAUUCUGGACUCUCGCCAUACUUGGCUGUAUUGUAGCUGCUGUGUGGUGGUGUGGAGCAG